UUGAUGAUAAUGGACUGAACCCUGAACCUAGUGAUCUGAGUGUAAGAACUGAGAUGGCCUCAUCAUCCUGCAUCUCUGUGUGGAUAUGAACAGAGCUCCCCGACCAUUCAGACGGAACAAGGAGCAGACACCACCGGAAUGAAGAGGUUUUAAUCCAACUACGGGUACACGAUUCAGCAUGGUAAAAAGGAGACUACCAGCAUCAGGCAGCAAGACAAAAGGAUUACAAUUUGGAGGCUGUGAGUCCCUGUUUCAGAAAAGAACGAAAACUAACAAGUACGCUAACAACUCAAUGAUUAAACGACCGUGCAACUUAACAGUGGACAGAGGAAAGUACAUCCAGUGGUGGACACAGCAGGGGCAGAGGCUCAAGUUCACCUCCAGCUAUGUGGAAAAAGCCUGCCUUGAUAUUCAAACGAUCAGGUAAUUUUAAGUUCCAGAUAAAAUCCACUUAUCACCUGGCACAGUCUGUCAAUAUUUUCUUCGGUUGGCAUCACAAAGUACACUGCAGGAACAUCUGGAAUCGGAUCUCGGUCUGAGUGCAAAAGGCUGGAAAACAGAAAGAACAACAGCAACUCAUUUUUCCCCUUAGCUCUAAGAAGAAGCCCACAGUUCCCACUAAAGAAGCCUUACCUUCC
Molecule: long non-coding RNA, 638 nt
Organism: Mus musculus (house mouse)
Lineage: Eukaryota; Metazoa; Chordata; Mammalia; Rodentia; Muridae
Product: predicted gene, 40422
Exons: 6
Source: RefSeq, a predicted model, not a curated record